Long non-coding RNA from Oncorhynchus tshawytscha (Chinook salmon), 7923 nucleotides. Lineage: Eukaryota; Metazoa; Chordata; Actinopteri; Salmoniformes; Salmonidae. The record is from Ensembl.
CUUACAUUAUUUAUGAAUAUUGAAAAAUAUAAACAUGAAAAUAUAAAAAAUGUGAUUUGCCUAUUACCUGGGCAUAUCAAAGUCCCAGAGUGGGAUCGCUGCUGCUUUUAGUUGCAGGAUGUUCAAUGAUACAAGUAAAAGGAGGGCUGUGAUUGGUUAUAUUGCCCACUAUGCCAAUUUCUCUGUUUAAAAUGGGCCAUUACAUUUUUAUAUUUGUUUUAUAUUCAUUAAAUUAAGAAAAUUGUUAUUGAAAUCAAAACACAUUUCAGAGCAAGCUGUAUUUUUUAAAAUAUUUUUUUAAACAUUUAUUUAACUCGGCAAGUCCGUUAAGAACAAAUUCUUAUUUACAAUGCCGGCCAAACCCGGACAACGCUGGGCCAAUUGUGCGCCGGCCUAUGGGACUCCUAAACACGGCCCGUUGUGAUAGUGGUAAAGCUUCAUUUGUGUCACCUACAGAUGAAACAUUAUGGAGUCUUAAAAGAGGCCUGCCUGGGUAAGGCUAAAAUGCCAACUUUGAUAAAUGAUUUCUCGAUUAUAGUUUUAGAAUAAAUUUCAUGAAAAUCCCCCAAAAAUCAUGGUAGCUUUUUGUUCUGGUUUCGUGAGGAAUUACCCCAAAAACAUUUGGUAUCGUACACAGUAAAUCUCUUUCCUCCAGCACAGUGAAAUCAAAUUCGCUAGGUAUGUUCCCAUGCAUUGGGAAAGCGUACAAUCUUCAAUUGUUUUGAGGUUGGAAAGUAUACAACUGUGUGUGUGUUUGUAGUUUACAUACACCUUAGCCAAAUACAUUUAAACUCCGUUUUUCACAAUUCCUGACACUUAAUCCUUGUAAAAAUUCCCUGUCUAAGGUCAGUUAGGAUCACCACUUUAUUUCAAGAAUGUGAAAUGUCAGAAUAAUAGUAUAGAGUGAUUUAUUUCAGCAUUUAUUUCAUUCAUCACAUUCCCAGUGGGUCAGAAGUUUACAUACACUCAAUUAGUAUUUGGUAGCAUUGCCUUUCAAUUGUUUAACUUGGAUCAAACAUUUUGGGUAGCCUUCCACAAGCUUCCCACAAUAAGUUGGGUGAAUUUUGGCCCAUUCCUCCUGAGCUGGUGUAACUGAGUCAGGUUUGUAGGCCUCCUUCCUUGCACUUGCUUUUUCAGUUCUACCCACACAGUUUCUAUAGGAUUGAGGUCAGGGCUUUGUGAUGGCCACUCCAAUACCUUGACUUUGUUGUCCUAAAGCCAUUUUGCCACAACUUUGGAAGUAUGCUUGGGGUAAUUGUCCAUUUGGAAGACCCAUUUGCGACCAAGCUUUAACUUCCUGGCUGAUGUCAAGAGAUGUUGCUUCAAUAUAUCCACAUAAUUUCCCCCCCUCAUGAUGCCAUCUAUUUUGUGAAGUGCACCCUCCUGCAGCAAAGCACCCCCACAACAUGAUGCUGCCACCCCCGUGCUUCAAGGUUGGGAUGGUGUUCUUCGGCUUGCAAGCUUCCCCCUUUUUCCUCCAAACAUAACAAUGGUCAUUAUGGCCAAACAGUUCUAUUUUUGUUUCAUCAGACCAGAGGACAUUUCUCCAAAAAGUACAAUCUUUGUCCCCAUGUGCAGUUGGAAACCGUAGUCUGGCUUUUUUAUGGUGGUUUUGGAGCAGUGGCUUCUUCCUUGCUGAGCGGCCUUUCAGGUUAUGUCGAUUUCGGACUCGUUUUACUGUAGAUAUUGAUACUUUUGUACCCGUUUCCUCCAGCAUCUUCACAAGGUCCUUUGCUGUUGUACUGGGAUUGAUUUGCACUUUUUGUACCAAAGUACGUUCAUCUCUAGGAGACAGAAUGCGUCUCCUUCCUGAACGGUAUGACAGCUGCGUGGUCCCAUGGUGUUUAUACUUGCGUUCUAUUGUUUGUACAGAUGAACGUGGUACCUUCAGGUACCACCAUUUGGAAAUUGCUCCCAAGGAUGAACCAGACUUGUGGAGGUCUACCAUUAUUUUUCUGAGGUCUUGGCUGAUUUCUUUUGAUUUUCCCAUGAUGUCAAGCAAAGAGGCACUGAGUUUGAAGGUAGACCUCUAAUUGACUCAAAUUAUGUCAAUUAGCCUAUCAGAAGCUUCCAAAGCCAUGACAAUUUUCUGGAAUUUUCCAAGCUGUUUAAAGGCACAGUCAACUUAGUGUAUGUAAACUUCUGACCCAUUGGAAUUAUGAUACAGUGAAUUAUAAGUGAAAUCUGUCUAAAUAAUUGUUAGACAAAUAACUUGUGUCAUACAUAAAGUAGAUGUCCUAACCGACUUGCCAAAACGAUAGUUUGUUAACAAGACAUUUUUUGGAGUGGUUGAAAAAUUAGUUUUAAUGACACACUUAGUUUGGAAUGUGAACUUCUGACUUCAAGUGUGUGUGUGAGAGAACUUAUGAGUGGUGUUUUUGGUACAUUCCAAUAGUCUCCUUAUCCUAAGAUUCCAUGUGAAUAAUUCACAACAUUCUGUUGUUGCUCAUAAAGGCAUCUGAUAAGGUUGCCUGACAUGCCUCUGCUAAGAUGAGCUACACUCAUUGAAUAGGUACUGGUCAUUGCAAGGAUUCAAGGAUAAUAUAUUUAUAUAUAUAUUAGUUACCAGUCAAAAGUUUGGACACACCUACUCAUUCAAGGUUUUUUUUUAUUUAUUUGUACUAUUUUCUACAUUGUAGAAUAAUAGUGGUCAAAAUAGCCCUUACACAGCCUGGAGGUGUGUUGGGUUAUUGUCCUGUUGAAAAAUGAAUUCUAGUCCCACUAAGCGCAAACCAGAUGGGAAGGCGUAUCGCUGCAGAACGUUGUGAUAGCUAUGCUGGUUAAUCAAAUCAAAUGUAUUUAUAUAGCUUUUCUUACAUCAGCUGAUAUAUCAAAGUGCUGUACAGAAACCCAGCCUAAAACCCCAAACAGCAAGCAAUGCAGGUGUAGAAGCACGGUGGCUGGGGGAAAACUCCUUUGGAAAGACCAAAACAUAGAGAGGAACCAGGCUAUAAGGGGUGGCCAGUCCUCUUCUUGCUGUGGCUGGUGGAGAUUAUAACAGAACAUGGUCAAGAUGUUCAAAUGUUCACAAAUGACCAGCAUGGUCAAAUAAUAACAAUCACAGUAGUUGUCGAGGGUGCAACAAGUCAGCACCUCAGGCUAUGAAAAGCUAACUGACACUUACUCCUAUCUCUACCGCUCCUGCUGUCUCUAGAGAGUUGAAAACAGCAGGUCUGGGACACGUAGCAUGUCCGGUGAACAGGUCAGGGUUCCAUAGCCGCAGGCAGAACAGUAAGUUUUUCUUGAAUCUAAAAUAAUCACAACAGGGUCACCAGCAAAGCACCAUCACACCUCCUCCUCCAUGCUUCAAAGGUACACCUGUUAGUUGAAAUGCAUUCCAGCUGACUAGCUCAUGAAGCUGGUUGAGAGAAUGCCAAGGGUCUGAAAAGCUGUCAUUAAGGCAAAGUGUGGCAACUUUGAAGAAUCUCAAAUAUAAAAUGUGUUUUGAUUUUAACAUUUUUGUUUGUUACUACAUGAUUCCAUAUGUGUUAUUUCAUAGUGAAGACAUUAAAACUAUCAUUCUACAAUGUAUAAAAUAGUACAAAUAAAGAAAAACACUUUAAUGAGUAGGUGUGUCCAAACCUUUGACUGGUAGUGUGUAUAUACAGUGGGGCAAAAAAGGUAUUUAGUCAGCCACCAAUUUUGCAAGUUCUCCCACUUAAAAAGAUGGAGAGGCCUGUCAACUAUGACAGACAAAAUGAGGGGGAAAAAAUCCAGAAAAUCACAUUGUAGGAUUUUUAUGAAUUUAUUUGCAAAUUAUGGUGGAAAAUAAGUAUUUGGUCACCUACAAACAAGCAAGAUGUCUGGCUCUCACAGACCUGUAACAACUUCUUCAAGAGGCUACUCUGUCCUCCACUUGUUACCUGUAUUAAUGGCACCUGUUUGAAUUUGUUAUCAGUAUAAAAGACACCUGUCCACAACCUCAAACAGUCACACUCCAAACUCCACUAUGGCCAAGACCAAAGAGCUGUCAAAGGACACCAGAAACAAAAUUGUAGACCUGCACCAGGCUGGGAAGACUGAAUCUGCAAUCGGUAAGCAGCUUGGUUUGAAGAAAUCAGCUGUGGGAGCAAUUAUUAGGAAAUGGAAGACAUACAAAACCACUGAUAAUCUCCCUCGAUCUGGGGCUCCCCAUGCAAGAUCUCGCCCCGUGGGGUCAAAAUGAUCACAAGAACAGUGAGCAAAAAUCCCAGAACCACACGGGGGGACCUAGUGAAUGACCUGCAGAGAGCUGGGACCAAAGUAACAAAGCCUACCAUCAGUAACACACUACGCCACCAGGGACUCAAAUCAUGCAGUGCCAGACGUGUCCCCCUGCUUAAGUCAGUACAUGUCCAGGCCCAUCUGAAGUUUGCUAGAGAGCAUUUGGAUGAUCCAGAAGAAGGUUGGGAGAAUGAAACCAAAAUAUAACUUUUUGGUAAAAACUCAACUCGUUGUGUUUGGAGGACAAAGAAUGCUGAGUUGCAUCCAAAGAACACCAUACCUACUGUGAUGCAUGGGGGUGGAAACAUCAUGCUUUGGGGCUGUUUUUCUGCAAAGGGACCAGGAUGACUGAUCCGUGUAAAGGAAAGAAUGAAUAGGGCCAUGUAUCAUGAGAUUUUGAGUGAAAACCUCCUUCCAUCUGCAAGGGCAUUGAAGAUGAAACGUGGCUGGGUCUUUCAGCAUGACAAUGAUCCCAAACACACCGCCCGGGCAAUGAAGGAGUGGCUUCGUAAGAAGCAUUUCAAGGUCCUGGAGUGGCCUAGCCAGUCUCCAGAUCUCAACCCCAUAGAAAAUCUUUGGAGCGAGUUUCGAAGUCUGUGUUGCCAAGCAACAGCCCCAAAACAUCACUGCUCUAGAGGAGAUCUGCAUGGAGGAAUGGGCCAAAAUACCAGCAACAGUGUGUGAACCUUGUGAAGACUUACAGAAAACAUUUGACCCCUGUCAUUGCCAACAAAGGGUAUAUAACAAAGUUUUGAGAUACACUUUUGUUAUUGACCAAAUACUUAUUUUCCAACAUAAUUUGCAAAUAAAUUCAUAAAAAAUCCUACAAUGUGAUUUUCUGGAUUUUUUUUCUCAUUUUGUCUGUCAUAGUUGAAGUGUACCUAUGAUGAAAAUUACAGGCCUCUCUCAUCUUUUUAACUUGCACAAUUGGUGGCUGACUAAAUACUUUUUUGCCCCACUGUAUGUGUCCACAUUUUCCACAGGUGAACUGGUUUCUUCUCUUUUUGAAUUUGCCUAUAAAUAAACUGCACCUCUGUUCACAUUGUCACAUUCAAAUAAAGUAAGAUAUUGGAUAUAUUCGUGUUUGAAAGUUUGCCCAUCUGAUGUCAGUGAAAUAGAUCAACACUCUUGUUCAGGGUCUUACCAGUGGCUACAUUUCCAUUAACUUUUCAAGUAUUUUUUUGUUGACAUUUAGAAAGUUUGCAUUGAAAAUACUCCGGCGUUUCCUUUUAACUAUUUUGUCGCUAAAAAAACAGCUGGACGUAACGACAUCGCACACAAACCUGGUGAAGAAUAAAAAAGUCAUUGAAGUGUUUCUAUUAUCCAUUUAGGCAAAUUGUGCAUUAAUAAAUUGCUGACAACCUGUAUGUCCUCCCACCUAUCUGUUUCAUGUCUCAGGUAGCCCGCAAAAGCCAGCAUGGAUAGAAUGCACAGUCUGUGCCAUGGUGAAACUUGCGCUCCUGUAGCCUAGAUCUGAAAUAAUUCGAUAGUGAAACUUGCAAUUCAGCCAACCAGAAAAGCAAGGCGAUUAAGACCAUCCUUGUUCUGCAAAGAAACAUUUAGAUGUAACUGUUUUGGAUGUAAAAAAUAGUUUUAGCAAGCAGUAGGUAUUUAGAAUUAGAUGUGGAGUGGAGCUUUAUAAUAACGUAAUGACAUCACGUACCUUCAAAUUUAUUCGGCAAUCAUUUUAUUUAUUUUUUAAACACCGUUUCCAUAAUUGUUCGCGAUGAAGAAAGUUUGACGAAAUACAAAUCCACCUAUGCCAAACGAAUACAAAAUGUGUCGAUUUUUAGAACGUUUCUCCUAUAGCUGCCGUUGCUAUGUUUUUGUUCUUGCGACAUUGUUUUUAUCGAAUAAACAUUGAUCAAUGAAAACCUUGUCUAAUGACAUCUGAUGCCUCACACGAACACUGUGGUCAUGUUGUGGUUGGUUUCUGGGUUCUACAGUUCCUGGUUUGCUCAUUUUAAUGUGUUAUCUGAAUAAAUGGACUGGCUAGCAAGAGCAGUCGGCUACAUGACAAAGGUCACUGAUGUCUCGCUGAAAUAGAAAUUAGAUUAAAAGUAGGGUGUAGCCAGAGCAUGUUAUGUACUGUGUGGGGAACACUUUAUAAAGUAAAGAGUUGUUGAAUUUAUCAGUCCGUCAUAGCUAACAGUCGACAGGAUGCCAAUGUCGUCUUAUUUCCUUCCCCCUCUCCUUUUAUAGCGCAACUCUCUUCAGUCAAUGAUUUAAGAGACCUGGGCUCGUUGAUGUUUGAACCAUAGAGAUACAUAGAGAUCGAAUUGGCGCGGGCACUAGAAAAGUCUGCAGCACCCGGCCUCACCCUACUAGAAUCCGAAGUCAAAUGUCUGCUGUUUGCUGAUGAUCUGGUGCUUCUGUCACCAACCAAGGAGGGCCUACAGCAGCACCUAGAUCUUAUGCACAGAUUCUGUCAGACCUGGGCCCUAACAGUAAAUCUCAGUAAGACCAAAAUAAUGGUGUUCCAAAAAAGGUCCAGUCACCAGGACCACAAAUACAAAUUCCAUCUAGACACUGUUGCCCUAGAGCACACAAAAAACUAUACAUACCUUGGCCUAAACAUCAGCGCCACAGGUAACUUCCACAAAGCUGUGAACGAUCUGAGAGACAAGGCAAGAAGGGCAUUCUAUGCCAUCAAAAGGAACAUAAAUUUCAACAUACCAAUUAGGAUUUGGCUAAAAAUACUUGAAUCAGUCAUAGAGCCCAUUGCCCUCUAUGGUUGUGAGGUCUGGGGUCCGCUCACCAACCAAGACUUCACAAAAUGGGACAAACACCAAAUUGAGACUCUGCACGCAGAAUUCUGCAAAAAUAUCCUCCGUGUACAACGUAGAACACCAAAUAAUGCAUGCAGUGCAGAAUUAUGCCGAUACCCACUAAUUAUCAAAAUCCAGAAAAGAGCCGUUAAAUUCUAUAACCACUUAAAAGGAAGUGAUUCCCAAACCUUCCACAACAAAGCCAUCACCUACAGAGAGAUGAACCUGGAGAAGAGUCCCCUAAGCAUGAGAAAACAAAAAGAUAAUUACUUGACACAUUGGAAAGAAUUAACAAAAAAACAGAGCAAACUUGAAUGCUAUUUGGCCCUACACAGAGAGUACACAGCGGCAGAAUACCUGACCACUGUGACUGACCCAAAAUUAAGGAAAGCUUUGACUAUGUACAGACUCAGUGAGCAUAGCCUUGCUAUUGAGAAAGGCCGCCGUAGGCAGACAUGGCCCUCAAGAGAAGACAGGCUAUGUGCUCACUGCCCACAAAAUGAGGUGGAAACUGAGCUGCACUUCCUAGCCUCCUGCCCAAUGUAUGACCAUAUUAGAGAGACAUAUUUCCCUCAGAUUACACAGAUCCACAAAGAAUUCGAAAACAAAUCCAAUUUUGAUAAACUUCCAUAUCUACUGGGUGAAAUUCCACAGUGUGCCAUCACAGCAGCAAGAUUUGUGACCUGUUGCCACGAGAAAAGGGCAACCAGUGAAGAACACACACCAUUGUAAAUACAACCCAUAUUUAUGCUUAUUUAUUUUAUCUUGUGUCCUUUACCAUUUGUACAUUGUUAAAACACUGUAUAUAUAUAUAUAAUAUGACAUUUGUAAUGUCUUUAUUGUUUUGAAACUUCUGUAUGUGUAAUGUUUACUGUUAAUUUUUAUUGUUUAUUUCACUUUAUAUAUUCACUUUAUACAUUAUCUACCUCACUUGCUUUGGCAAUGUUAACAC